RNAcentral lists this ribosomal RNA (397 nucleotides) under uncultured bacterium. Its description in RNAcentral is "bacterial SSU rRNA". It matches the Rfam family "Bacterial small subunit ribosomal RNA", at positions 362 to 776 of the family's 1533-position model. The record is from RNAcentral.
UAUUGCACAAUGGGGGAAACCCUGAUGCAGCGACGCCGCGUGAGCGAAGAAGUAUUUCGGUAUGUAAAACUCUAUCAGCAGGGACGAAAAUGACGGUACCUGAUUAAGAAGCACCGGCUAACUACGUGACGGCAGCCGCGGUAAUACGUAGGGGGCAAGCGUUAUCCGGAUUUACUGGGUGUAAAAGGAGCGUAAACGGCAGCACAAGUCUGGAGUGAAAUGCCGGGGCUUAACCCCGGAACUGCUUUGGAAACUGUGCAGCUAGAGUGCAGGAGAGGUAAGUGGAAUUCCUAGUGUAGCGGUGAAAUGCGUAGAUAUUAGGAGGAACACCAGUGGCGAAGGCGGCUUACUGGACUGUAACUGACGUUGAGGCUCGAAAGCGUGGGGAGCAAACAGG